CGGGUGGUAAUGCCGGAUGUUCCACAUGAUCGCAUGUGAUUGUGGGAAAGAUUUCAUCGGCGUGGGAUGGGGUCGCGUCCUAUCAGCUUGUUGGUGAGGUAACGGCUCACCAAGGCUUCGACGGGUAGCCGGCCUGAGAGGGCGACCGGCCACAUUGGGACUGAGAUACGGCCCAGACUCCUACGGGAGGCAGCAGUGGGGAAUAUUGCACAAUGGGCGCAAGCCUGAUGCAGCGACGCCGCGUGAGGGAUGGAGGCCUUCGGGUUGUAAACCUCUUUUGUUUGGGAGCAAGCCUUCGGGUGAGUGUACCUUUCGAAUAAGCGCCGGCUAACUACGUGCCAGCAGCCGCGGUAAUACGUAGGGCGCAAGCGUUAUCCGGAUUUAUUGGGCGUAAAGGGCUCGUAGGCGGCUCGUCGCGUCCGGUGUGAAAGUCCAUCGCUUAACGGUGGAUCUGCGCCGGGUACGGGCGGGCUGGAGUGCGGUAGGGGAGACUGGAAUUCCCGGUGUAACGGUGGAAUGUGUAGAUAU
Molecule: ribosomal RNA, 528 nt
Filed under: Bifidobacterium bifidum
Lineage: Bacteria; Bacillati; Actinomycetota; Actinomycetes; Bifidobacteriales; Bifidobacteriaceae
Description: bacterial SSU rRNA
Rfam family: Bacterial small subunit ribosomal RNA
Source: RNAcentral